GAUGAAGAACGCAGCGAAAUGCGAUACUAGGUGUGAAUUGCAGAAUCCCGUGAACCAUCGAGUCUUUGAACGCAAGUUGCGCCUCAAGCCAUUAGGUUGAGGGCACGUCUGCCUGGGCGUCACAUAUCGUUGCCUGAUGCCAGUUUCCUCGUGAUGGGUGACUGUGCAGGGCGAAUGAUGGCUUCCCGUGAGCAUUGUUGCCUCAUGGUUGGUUGAAAAUUGAGUCCUUGGUAGGGAGCGCCGUGAUAGAUGGUGGUUGAGUGACGAACGAGACCCAAUCAUGUGAGACCCCUACCGAAUUUGGCCUUCAUGACCCACAUGCGUCUUUGGAACGCUCAUGACGAGACCUCAGGUCAGGCGGGGCUACCCGCUGAGUUUAAGCAUAUCAAUAAGCGGAGGA
This 400-nucleotide unclassified non-coding RNA is filed under the name soil metagenome. Its description in RNAcentral is "partial contains 5.8S ribosomal RNA, internal transcribed spacer 2, and large subunit ribosomal RNA". The stretch from base 1 to 122 matches the Rfam family "5.8S ribosomal RNA", at positions 35 to 154 of the family's 154-position model. The record is from RNAcentral.